AGCAGCAUAGCGCAGUGGUAGCGCGCGGGGCCCAUAACCCCGAGGUCACUUGAUCAAAACAACUUGCUGCUA
This 72-nucleotide transfer RNA is filed under the name Collybiopsis luxurians FD-317 M1. RNAcentral's name for it is "tRNA-iMet (CAT) (tRNA-iMet-CAT-3-1)". It matches the Rfam family "tRNA". Rfam says of the family: Transfer RNA (tRNA) molecules are approximately 80 nucleotides in length. Lineage: Eukaryota; Fungi; Basidiomycota; Agaricomycetes; Agaricales; Omphalotaceae. The record is from RNAcentral.